Phyllostomus discolor (pale spear-nosed bat) is the source of this 635-nucleotide long non-coding RNA. RefSeq lists it as uncharacterized. The record is from RefSeq and is a predicted model, not a curated record. NCBI's taxonomy places the organism in Eukaryota, Metazoa, Chordata, Mammalia, Chiroptera, Phyllostomidae. The transcript is spliced from 2 exons.
CAGUUACCUUGGCCGGGUCACAACUGCGGCAGGGUAAUCGGGUGAGUCGUCGGGGAUUUUAAAGGAGCAAGCCCAGCCGCCGUCUGUGGCUGGGAAAGUCUACCAAACCCCCAUGCCGGAGCCGUGCACGUCUGACACACGCCUCCUUUCACUGGGCUCCCGCGACCUCAGCCGGCGAGGGGGUGCUGGCCGGCCGGCCGCGGGCAAGGGCACGGCCACCCGCUGGGCCCCUGCGGGCGCGGCGCCGGCCUGGCCCCCGGGGCCCGCGUCCCGAGCGGCUGUCACUCACCGAGCCGGGCUGCGAGGGGCAGAGGGGCGCCCGCGGCUAGCCGGAGCGCCCGGGCGCCUCCCUUCUCUCUUGGUAGCGUCGGUCCGCACUCCCUGUGACCCAGGACGUCAUGAUGCCUGUCUGUUUUCUCAAUGAUAACUUGGCAGAAGACGAGAGAGGCUGCCAGGUUCUCCUCGGGUGGUUACGUGAAGGGAGAGAGAGUUCCAGGUUCAACUGGAAAAAUAAUCAAGAUGUCAUCUGAUGCCACAAGUUAACUCCUAGGUUCUCAGCUGCGUGGCCCUGCCGGUUGCUGAGCCAGCAGAGUAAAGUUGAUGUCAUGGAAAGAACAUUGAACUUGGCAUCAAGA